Long non-coding RNA from Synchiropus splendidus (mandarinfish), 573 nucleotides. RefSeq lists it as uncharacterized. The transcript is spliced from 3 exons. Lineage: Eukaryota; Metazoa; Chordata; Actinopteri; Syngnathiformes; Callionymidae. The record is from RefSeq and is a predicted model, not a curated record.
GGCACCCGCUCGUUGAUUCUUUAACUCACCAGACGCCUCAGCUGAUAGGAGAUACAAAGACAACGAGCACGCCACACCUUCUACCUGUCGCUUCAACACCAACACCAACACCAACCUCUCCCCUCUGGGUCUUGGCCUUUGUGGGAGACAUUGACGCCGGUUUCCUCAGUACCUCUGGAUCUACUAUCCGGACCGUUCCCUGCUGAAGACUCGACGUCGGCAUCUGGGCUAUCCGCACCUCCACAGCCACCGUCGCCGACACCAUCAGCACCGCCAGCAACCACAGACAAGCCGCGGACAUCGCCCCGGAAACCAAAACAAAGAGAAAGAAAUACUUGUGUGUGUGUGUGUGUGUGUGCGCGUACGUGCGUACGUGCGUCCGUGCGUGUGUGUGUGCGUUUUAUCUGUAAUGCGGUUUGUCUAUGUUCCGGCUUUGUGCUUUUAGACGGUGUCAUUUUACUAUUGAAGGUGUUUGAGUAACUGUUGCUGCUAAGCGUCAUUGUGAUUUUACUACUAUGCUUUAACGACGACGGACACUAGAGGUCGCGAUUACUAUUUCACCCUAUGCUUUAA